Molecule: non-coding RNA, 241 nt
Organism: Pelobates cultripes (western spadefoot toad)
Lineage: Eukaryota; Metazoa; Chordata; Amphibia; Anura; Pelobatidae
Source: the annotation of a GenBank genome assembly
GCUGUAUCCAUAACCGGUACUGCUGCCAGUGAUGUCCAUGUUGUGUCUGUGCAUCGUACAGAGCUUUGGUUUUCUCGAAAUACUCUCAUGUUUGAUAUGCGUGGUUAUUGUUUAGAACACUAAGAACGCACGUAAGAUUUCAUGGCUUCUGUACCUCAUAGUUAAAUCUUGCCCAUUAACCAGACACACGCUUUCCCUCUCGACGAGUGAAUAGGUCUCACCCUCCAGCAGCUGCUUAAAC